GGAGAGGUCGCAUAGAGGCCUAGUGCGCUACCUUGGAAAGGUAGUAUACCGGCAACGGUAUCGAGAGUUCGAAUCUCUCCCUCUCCGCCA
RNAcentral lists this transfer RNA (90 nucleotides) under bacterium. Its description in RNAcentral is "tRNA-Ser". It matches the Rfam family "tRNA". Rfam says of the family: Transfer RNA (tRNA) molecules are approximately 80 nucleotides in length. Their secondary structure includes four short double-helical elements and three loops (D, anti-codon, and T loops). The record is from RNAcentral.